UUAUGGCAGAAGAUUGAUAAAGUAUCAAAUCUUUAUGUAAGACAUUAUGCAUCGUGUCCCAUACGCUUUGGGUAUAGGAACGAUUGCAAGUGCUAUAAUAUUCGACCAUUCUAAGAUUUUCCAAAUGUCUAGCGCAUUUAGAGGGAAAAAGGACAAGAAUCGGUUUUGACUAAGAUAAUUAAACAACUAUCAAAGGACAAUCCAAAGUUCGCCGAGGAUUGGUCGCUUGUGAGUAGUUGGAAGUAUAAUAUUGGAUGGACCAUAUCGACAUUAUUAUAAAUAGAAAAGAUUCUAUUAAGAAUGAGUUGUCAUAUGGAAAAUAUGGAAACGUGUCCAUAUUGGGAAUUGAAUAUUGAAAAUCUAUGUCUAGAUUAGAAACUUUUAUGCAAAAGGAUGUUCAAAGGAAUGUACUUUGAGUGAGAAACAUCAUAUCUAAGGAAUUGUCUUGUAACAAUCUCCGAUAGAGGACUUUGUAAUUUCAUUGGCAAUAGUCAUUGUGACUUUUGUGCUAUGACAUUACGAAAGGAUCAUUGCAUAAAAUGUUAGAAUCUAACAUAUUCUAUAAGUGGCAAGAAUUUGAUAUUCUUUCACUUAUGAAAAGGAUUAGGAGUUGUGAAAUGAGUAUGAUUGGAAAUGUGUUCAUUUGAUCUAUUUCACAAAGUAAGAACCAUAGGUAAAUAUUGUGUGCAUGCUAAGAGCAUGGAACAAGCGUUGUAAUAAUUCAAGUAAGAAGUUGAUUACCCGAAACAACAAAUAAUGAGUAAUCGAUAUGGUGAUAAAUAAAAGGUGUUUUAUUUAUACUCAAAGGUUUGAGGCCAUAUGGGAUUAGUAUUAUUCUUGUGUUUCACUUUGCAUGUUUUGACUUCCUGAAUAAUUUAAUUGGUUUAGAACAGUCAAAUUAUUCGAACGGGCCACAGUCGUUCAUAUGUUGGAAGUAGGUAUGAAUAAAGACUGUCGUGAAUUGGUGUGUGGAUUGUCUAAAGAGUAUUAGACAUAAGCAAAUGUUUGCUGCAACGUUCAUGAGUGCUUAUGAAUAUGAUUUGAGCAUUGGAUUAAACCCACGCUCACUUGGAUCACUCCAUGAAUUGUAUCACGAGUGAUUGGUGAGACGAUAACAUCUUAUAUUCUUGAAACCGAGAUGUGUGAGUUGUAUCUUGCAAAUCGGUUGCACAUUGAUAAUAUGUAAACGCACUAGUAACUUGGUGUUAUAAAACAUAUUGUUGUGUGUGAUUCGGUGAGUGAGUGCAAGCAAGCAUUGUAUCAAAGUUUAUCCGUUCCUUUUAUCCAAAGUAGGAUAAAAGCGAUAUCUUUGGGCCCCUCGAUGAUUUAGUGAUGGCACCUAAGCGCUUGGCCAAGCCGGGACUAAAUUGAUGUGUUCAAUUGUAGCCUGUUGUCAGUCAUCAUAAAUAGGAAGUCGGGAAAUAGUAUAGAGAGAAUGAUUAAGUUCAUGUCUCAUAUCUAUACGAUAUCUAGAAUGGAGGAAUAUAUGAUCCCUUAUCUAAAGGACACGCGUAUCCGAUAAGAUCAGAGUUGACAAUGGCUUUAGAAAGCUACGACUGCAGAUCAGGAUCUGAAAUCAUACACAUAAUAGUUUUUAGACUUAUCCAAGUGGGAGAUUGUUGGAUUAGUGUCUAAGUCCAUAACUAUUUUGGUAUGUACUUGACCCGAUGGUGCAUGGUCCUUUUGGGUUGCCUUCACCAAAGCAACUUGAUAGGAUGAAUUAUGGAGAGAAAGGAUUAAAUAUGAUUUAUUAAUAUAUUAUGAGAAUAAUAUAUUAAAGGAGAAAUCAUAUUGUUUAAUUAAUAUUAGUCAAGAAUUAAUUGGUAAUUAGUUUUGUGACUAAAAGAGAUUAAUUAAACUUAAGGGACUGGAAUUGUAAUUAUAAGAUAAUUGCAAUUUGGGCCAUGGAUUGCCUUAUAUUAAGGAGUGGACGAAUUCUAUGGGGAAGCCCAUAAGAAAUCGUCCAAGGCCUUAAGGAAAGGGAUCCAUGGGUUGCUUAGGGCUUAAGCAUCCAAAUUAGGGUUUCCUUGUUAGAUAACCCUAAUAGCCUCACUAUAUAUAGAACCCUUAAGGCUCAAAAACGUGGGGAACUUCUCUUCUAGGGUUAGAACACGUUUUGGGCAGCCUCCAUCCUCUCUCCUCUUCAUCCUCUUGCUUAUGGUGUUUGUGAACCAUUAGAGGAGUGACAUUUGUGACUCUAAGCUUUCUAAAGUCAAUACAAGGAGAUUUGGGAUUGUUAUUGCUACAUAACAAUCAAGGUAACAUCUUAAACCUAUUCUCAUGUUAAUAUGAUUACUUGAAUGCUAGAAUUAGGGUUUAUAGUCUUGGAUAACUUGCAUGUACAAUAGAGAAACCUAGAUCCAAGCAUUAGGGUUUGUAUGAGCACAUAGGAUGUUCUUAUGACCAAAACCCAUCAGUGGUAUCAGAGCCUUGAUUGGUUUCUAUUGUAUUGAUGCCUUGUAUGUUUAUUCAAGUUGAAAAAUUCGAUUUUUGUGAAACUGCCUGAUGAACUCGGCGAGUCCCAUAGUGGACUCGGCGAGUAGGCCCCUACUCGGCGAGUCCAUAUGGGUACUCGGCGAGUUCGAGCGUCAGAAAGAGGGGAUUUCGGGAUUUCUUGCUGUUUUUCUCAUGGAUACUUGCCUUAUCUGUUUUAGAUCAUUAAAAUCCGAUUUUAUUCAUAUUUUUGAGUAUAUCCUUGAUUAAACAAAAGAUAAUUACCAAUUGAUUAGAUAAUAACUUCCUUAUAUGAUUAAAGUUGAUUAUUUGUAUUAAUUGGGUAACUUAUUUUGCAAGAAAUUGAAAUUAGGUCAAAUAUAGAUAAUGAUGAAAUUAAUUGUUUAAUUUAUAUUAUUUGUUAUUUGAUCCUUGUGUUAUGAAAAGUUUCAAAUUUUCCCCUUUAGGUUUUAUAGUUUAAAUUUGAACUCAAAAGUUUAGUUUUGAAAUUUAAAUAGUUGAAACCCUAAUGUUUUGAAAAGGUUUCAAAACUUGCCCUCAAGUUUUGGAAUUUAAAUUUUGAUUAAAAGUUUAAUUUUGAUGUAUAUUUAAAUUCUAAACCCUAAUGUUUUGAAAUGUUUCAAAACUUGCCCUCAAGUUUUGGAAUUUAAAAGUUGAUUAAAAGUUUAAUUUAGGAAUGUUAAAUUCUAAAACCCUAGUAUUGUUUUGAAAAGUUCAAAUCACACCCUUAUGGUUUUAUUAAUUAAUUAAGGUGUAUAAUUAAAAGAGGUUUAAUAAAUCCAUAAAAGUUUUGGUUUACAAUUUAAUUGAAUUAAAAGUAUAAUUGUUAAAUUUGACCACCUAGUAUUUUAAAAGUGUAAAAUACACCCUAUACUAUAUAUAACAUUAAAAGUCUAACAUUAUAUAUAUGUAUGAGUAAAAGUCAGUCUUACCGUUAGUAGGCCUCAUUCACGAAGCUGGUCUAUAAGGGGUGUUUAAGGAAAUUGCCUAUAAAAUGGCGAUUGAAUGGGUAUCCACUCUUACCCACCGCACUCUUGACUAGUGGAGGGUCGUUAGCCGAACGGGUAGGAUAGGACAAAACCUUCCAUUAUAAGUAUAAUGAAGUACAAAAGUAACUAAAUGUUUUACAAAUUCCCAAUCUUAGUUACUUAGGCAAAAGUGAAUUGAUGCAAUUCCAUGAAAUUACACUUUGUGCCCUUGCGAAGACGUUAGUGGAGCGUGUGUGGUUUACCGGCACACUAAAUGGUUCUAAGCAAAGGUAGCAAAGGGUGACUCAAUGUUUGUCAUAGUUCGGUGGAGCGUGUGUGGUUUACCGGCACAUCGAAUAGGUGACUGUAACAUGUGAGGGCACCAUGUAAGUUUGCAUGGUUAUUCACACCCGCUUUGUGAUCCUCGGCAUCCCAGUCACAAACAAGAGGGGCAUAUCGAGAUUUAAACAUGCCAUUGAAAGUUCAAUGAAUCUCAAAGGAUCUAGGAGUUUUCAUAGAUUUAAAACUUAAAUUUCUUUUUCGUUUUUCAUGGUGGAAAUUAGUGAAUCGUCAUUCACUUACCUUCAAAUAUUCUGCAAUUAGGGUUACGGCAUCCCUCUCCCGAGUUGUAGAAUAUUGUGUUGGGUCCUAGCCUUAGUAUCUCAUUUGGGUGAUUUACUAAGGACUCAAUCAAUCAACUAACUUGAAUUCGUUUUCUCCCGUUUUGUAGAUGUCAAAGUUCGACAACUAUGGUCUUCCCAAAUCCCGUGGAACAAGCAUUCCACAUGAAGAUGAUAUUCCACGAUUCGAUCGAGGAACAAGAAAUCAUGCUUCACUUCCUCCUCCUCCUCCAAUUAUUCUCCCUAACCCACAAGUUCAAAGGCUUGAAAAGUUCAAGAUCACUCAAGCCCUUUUGGCAAGUAAACAUAAAGAAGGAAAGUCGGUGUGUGCACACGUCCUAGGGAUGAAGUCACACAUUGAUAGGUUAAGAAUGUUGGGAUCCGUUGUCUGUGAGGAAAUGGCUGUUGAUUGGGUUCUUCAGUCACUUCCUAACUCAUAUAGUGAGUUCGUAAGAGAGUACUAUAUGAUGAACCGCGACGUGACCCUUAUAGAUCUCACCUAUAUGCUUAUUGCUGCUGAAUCAGCAAUGGUUUGGCGCAAUAGAAAAGCAAAGUUGAUUGGUGAAUCUGCCUUCAAGACCUCUAUGGAUAUAGACAAUGGCAACGAAAGACAUGCUAUGAUCGAAAAGUUUGAUCAUAAGAGAAAGGCAAUGUCUGAAGUAGUUCCAUGUCAUGUUCCAAAAGAGUCAAUUUGCUUUUAUUGCCAAGAGAAAGGGCAUUGGAGACGAAGCUGCCCCAUUUACCUAAGAGAUCUAAGAGAUGGGAGAGUCGAAACGUAUGGCUCUAAUAUAGGUAAAAUCCAUUAACUAACUCUUUUAAGCUUCUAUUCUAGAUUCUUAAUACAUAAUGUGAUAAGAUUACAAUUGAUGUUUUGUAGGAUCGAAGAAAAGAAAGGAAGCUUAAGGGAAGAAGUGAGCAGAAUCUAACCGUGAAGGAAUGGAUUUCGAUCGCAUUUCUCGAAGAUUAGAUUCUUGAGCUACUACUUAGAGUUAGAAUUAGAUUGCUAAGAAAGAUGUAUUAGCAUAGUUUUUCAAUGAAUUGCAUUGUAAGGACAAAUUUUUUCCGCAAUAAAAUAAAUUUUGAUUUUAUAUUAUUUAUUUAUCCUUGCAAUGGCGUAUAUGAAAAAUUGAUGUUUGAAUGUUUCUAUUAUUAGCAAUAAUGGAUUUGGUUCUUAUUAUGUUAUUUAUGGAAAGUCGAGAGUUUACCAAAUAGGGAGAGUUUCUCAUCGCCCAAGUUUCAAUUGGACAGAAACUUGGAAUCAUGCAACUUGGUUGCACGAUGAAUGAGAAAUUUCAUAUUUGGAAAUUAGACUAAUUCAUUGACAAAGUGUCAAGUGAAGGACUAGGAGAUCGAGUACACAAAGUUGCGUGUUGAUCAAGUCCACCAUAAGAGUAACAAAGAUAUUCGUCAUGAUUUACUAAAGGUUUAGUAAAUAUGAUUAUACUUACAAGAUUAAGUGUAAUUCUGAAUUGAUUGAAAAAGUUUAAAUCAAUAGCAGAACGAAUAAGAAGAAUCAAGUAGGCAGAAAGAUAAAAGUUUCUCCAUUCUAAGAAGAAGGGAGAGUACCUUUUAUGCUUUAUGAUAGGUCUUAAUGAUUAAGAACCAUAUCUCAAUUGAUCCUCUAAGUGAGUCUUAGUACAAUUGUAUGUCUAAGAAGAGGAAUCAAGAAUUGAAGAAAUGGUUAAAUCAAGAAGUCAAUCAUACUUCGUUCCAAAACAAGUCUUAGAGUUAAGAUUGUGACAUUGAGUGAAAAGUAUUAAGAAGGUUUAUAACAUUCAUCAAAUGUGGAAAGUUGUGAUGUCUUGGAUAAGACAAAGACCAACUAGGACCAAUUUAUGAAGUGUUUUGAUAAAAGCUACACUAACUCUUGAAUAUUUGUUUGUCAAGAAAUGUUUAUUGACAAGAGAAUCUUAUAUGUCAAGGAGUCAGUGGGAGUCUUAAUGGUCUUGAAAGGUUUCAAGAACAAAUCAAAUAAACCUUAUCGAUCAUCACUAGCACACGAGUUGAGGUUUACAACCUAUCGUGUUGACAUUAUUUUGUUUCUGUGCCAAUCCAAUCGAGUUAAUUAUGCAUGUGAGUUCUAUGAGUUCUCAUUUGAAUGCAUAAAAGGCAAGGACCUUGAUCAAUGGAAAGUACAUUGAUAAGAAAAGGUGAGCUGCUUAACUACUUGGAAGACAUGGUGGGCAGCUGUGCUACCAUAAGGCAAGAAAUCAAGAUUAAGAAAGUUCGGUCCAUAUGAGUUUGAAUUUGUCGUAAACUUUGGUUUUAACAAAUUCACAUGGAUAGGAACACAUACACCGUUUAAAUCUAAGUGUCAUAAGAUUUCCUCCUUCAUGAAAAUGAUUGUGAGGAAAUGCUUUCACUAAGAAAGAUUUUAAGAAGAUAGUGAUUGUAAAAUUGCAUUCUCGAAUUCAAUUAUGGUUACGGUAUCCCUUUCCAUAAUUUGAAUUGUGAGGUUUGGCAAUUAGUCUUAAUUGUUUAGACACACAUAUGAACUAUCGAAGGCAAAGGUGUAUAAGUUCAAGAAGCCUUGAUAAAAGAUUAUCAAAGCACUAAGUAUUAGAAACAUGAACUUAAGAAAUUCAAUAAGUAUUGUUUUUCUGAAAGUUAAGAUGUUUAUGAAUACAUGUCGAAGCUAGUGGGAGCAUAAGUGUUAUGUUUUAUAAUAAUCAUCAUGAUAGUGGGAGCAUAAAUGUUAUGAUUGUAUGAUUAUUAAGGCACGUAUUGCAAGUUGGCAAUAUUAAUUAUAGAAAACAAGAGUUAUACCUUGCAAAGUCGUAAGGGUUGUAAAGUUGUUUUGCUAUAAUUAAGGGAGAGAAUAUUAUGCUUCAUUUCAAAUCUAAAGGAUUAGGUUGAGAAAUGUUAAUAAAUUUAGUCAAAGGUACAUAGUGUGUUCUUAAAAUUUCGAUUAUGAUUACGGCAUUCCUCUUCACAAUUCGAAUUUUGAGAACAUAGCAAAUAAAACAUUAUGCGUCGUGUCCCAUACGCUUCGGGUAUAGGAUCGAUUGCAAAUGCUUUAAUGUUUGACCAUUCUAAAAUUUUCCAAAUGUCGAGCGCAUUUAGAGGGAAAAGGGACUAGAAUUGGUUUUGACUAAAAUAAUUAAACAACUAUCAAAGGACAAUCCAAAGUUCGACGAGGAUUGGUCGCUUGUGAGUAGUUGGAAGCAUGGUAUUGGAUGGACCAUAUCGACAUUAUUAUGAAUAGAAAAGAUUCUAUUAAGAAUGAGUUGUCAUAUGGAAAUUAUGGAAAUGUUUCCAUAUUGGAUGGACCAUAUCGACAUCAUUACGAAUAGAUAAGAUUCUAUUAAGAAUGAGUUGUCAUAUGGAAAAUAUGGAAGCGUGUCCAUAUUGGGAAUUGAAUAUUGAAAAUCUAUGUCUAGAUUAGAAACUUUUAUGCAAAAGGAUGUUCAAAGGAAUGUACUUUGAGUGAGAGACAUCAUAUCUAAGGAAUUGUCUUGUAACAAUCUCCGAUAGAGGACUUUGUAAUAUCAUUGGCAAUAGUCUUUGUGACUUUGGUGCAGUGACAUUACGAAAGGAUCAUUGCAUAGAAUGUUAGAAUCUAGCAUAUUUUAUAAGUAACAAGAAUUUGAUAUUCUCACACUUAUGAAAAAGGAUUUGGAGUUGUGAAAUGAGAAUGAUUGGAAAUGUGUUCAAUUUGAUCUAUUUCACAAAAGUAAGAACCAUAGGUAAACAUUGUGUGCAUGCUAAGAGCAUGGGACAAGU
This 7765-nucleotide long non-coding RNA is filed under the name Lactuca sativa (garden lettuce). RNAcentral's name for it is "long non-coding RNA (LSAT_LNC008149)". Lineage: Eukaryota; Viridiplantae; Streptophyta; Magnoliopsida; Asterales; Asteraceae. The record is from RNAcentral.